GACCAAUUAAAAAACAAACAUUGUAGUCCAUAUAGAGCAAGUUAUGACAUCCAAGAACCAUCAACUAGCAAAGGUAUUUUGUAGGACUUGGACGUGAAAAAGUUCAGUGAACUUACACCUCAAAAGCAAACGCUGUCUAAGAGAUGCAGAAAAAAUCUAUCUGAAAUAGUGAGGCUCUGAAAAAAGUUUCAAGGUACAGUAAAGUGGAGCCACAUAGAGGAGUUUUAUAAUAAAGAUCGCGAGAAUCCCAACCGUGUUUGCUCCAGCUUUAACCCAGCACCACUUACAACCAGUACAGAAUGGCAAACAGAAAAUCAAAGAGCGCCUAGCAGAUCAAAUUUUAAGCCAUUCGGUUGCAGUUGGAAUAUUUGCCAAAAUGAAUGAUGACAAGACGCCCCUGGAACAACUGUCGCUGGACAAGCUUUUCGACUGAACGGAGAUUCGACCGACAGGAAAGAGGUAUAAACACUUAUUAUAAUAAUACUUGACAUCUGUAAUUGUGGAUGUGAUCCAAACCCCACGUCGGUCCAAUUAAAAACUAGCUUAGGCAAUUAGUAGCAGCGUUUUUAAUACGCUGAAAUUAUUAUUCUUCGAAGACACUAAACCUAGCUGCGCAACUGAAUAUCCCUGUAACAGCCAGAUGGAACCUCCAACCUCCCAGGGAAAUUAAGUGGCAUCGCCGACUCAGCUACGCCUACGUCUGGCUAUGCUCUCGG
This is a long non-coding RNA of Pieris brassicae (large cabbage white), 716 nucleotides long. RefSeq lists it as uncharacterized. Lineage: Eukaryota; Metazoa; Arthropoda; Insecta; Lepidoptera; Pieridae. The transcript has 4 exons. The record is from RefSeq and is a predicted model, not a curated record.